This 415-nucleotide ribosomal RNA is filed under the name uncultured bacterium. RNAcentral's name for it is "bacterial SSU rRNA". It matches the Rfam family "Bacterial small subunit ribosomal RNA", at positions 917 to 1333 of the family's 1533-position model. The record is from RNAcentral.
GGACCCGCACAAGCGGUGGAGCAUGUGGUUUAAUUCGAUGCAACGCGAAAAACCUUACCUACUCUUGACAUACUUGGAAUGCUUUGUAAUGAAGCAGUGCCUUCGGGAGCCAGGAUACAGGUGCUGCAUGGCUGUCGUCAGCUCGUGUCGUGAGAUGUUCCGUUAAGUCGGAUAACGAGCGCAACCCUUACCCUUAUUUGCCAGCGAUUCGGUCGGGAACUAUAAGGGGACUGCCGGUGAUAAACCGGAGGAAGGUGAGGACGACGUCAAGUCAUCAUGGCCCUUACGAGUAGGGCUACACACGUGCUACAAUGGGGAAUACAGACGGACGCUAAGCCGCGAGGUGGUGCUAAUCCUAGAAAGUUUCUCGUAGUCCGGAUUGGAGUCUGCAACUCGACUCCAUGAAGCUGGAGUU